GACGAACGCUGGCGGCGUGCUUAACACAUGCAAGUCGAACGGAAAGGCCCUGCUUUUGUGGGGUGCUCGAGUGGCGAACGGGUGAGUAACACGUGAGUAACCUGCCCUUGACUUUGGGAUAACUUCAGGAAACUGGGGCUAAUACCGGAUAGGAGCUCCUGCUGCAUGGUGGGGGUUGGAAAGUUUCGGCGGUUGGGGAUGGACUCGCGGCUUAUCAGCUUGUUGGUGGGGUAGUGGCUUACCAAGGCUUUGACGGGUAGCCGGCCUGAGAGGGUGACCGGCCACAUUGGGACUGAGAUACGGCCCAGACUCCUACGGGAGGCAGCAGUGGGGAAUAUUGCACAAUGGGCGGAAGCCUGAUGCAGCAACGCCGCGUGCGGGAUGACGGCCUUCGGGUUGUAAACCGCUUUCGCCUGUGACGAAGCGUGAGUGACAGUAAUGGGUAAAGAAGCACCGGCUAACUACGUGCCAGCAGCCGCGGUGAUACGUAGGGUGCGAGCGUUGUCCGGAUUUAUUGGGCGUAAAGGGCUCGUAGGUGGUUGAUCGCGUCGGAAGUGUAAUCUUGGGGCUUAACCCUGAGCGUGCUUUCGAUACGGGUUGACUUGAGGAAGGUAGGGGAGAAUGGAAUUCCUGGUGGAGCGGUGGAAUGCGCAGAUAUCAGGAGGAACACCAGUGGCGAAGGCGGUUCUCUGGGCCUUUCCUGACGCUGAGGAGCGAAAGCGUGGGGAGCGAACAGGCUUAGAUACCCUGGUAGUCCACGCUGUAAACGGUGGGUACUAGGUGUGGGGUCCAUUCCACGGGUUCCGUGCCGUAGCUAACGCUUUAAGUACCCCGCCUGGGGAGUACGGCCGCAAGGCUAAAACUCAAAGGAAUUGACGGGGCCCCGCACAAGCGGCGGAGCAUGCGGAUUAAUUCGAUGCAACGCGUAGAACCUUACCUGGGUUUGACAUGGAUCGGGAGUGCUCAGAGAUGGGUGUGCCUCUUUUGGGGUCGGUUCACAGGUGGUGCAUGGCUGUCGUCAGCUCGUGUCGUGAGAUGUUGGGUUAAGUCCCGCAACGAGCGCAACCCUUGUUCACUGUUGCCAGCACGUUAUGGUGGGGACUCAGUGGAGACCGCCGGGGUCAACUCGGAGGAAGGUGGGGAUGACGUCAAGUCAUCAUGCCCCUUAUGUCCAGGGCUUCACGCAUGCUACAAUGGCUGGUACAGAGAGUGGCGAGCCUGUGAGGGUGAGCGAAUCUCGGAAAGCCGGUCUCAGUUCGGAUUGGGGUCUGCAACUCGACCUCAUGAAGUCGGAGUCGCUAGUAAUCGCAGAUCAGCAACGCUGCGGUGAAUACGUUCCCGGG
This 1343-nucleotide ribosomal RNA is filed under the name uncultured bacterium. RNAcentral describes it as "16S ribosomal RNA". It matches the Rfam family "Bacterial small subunit ribosomal RNA", at positions 28 to 1378 of the family's 1533-position model. The record is from RNAcentral.